This is a long non-coding RNA of Bubalus bubalis (water buffalo), 559 nucleotides long. RefSeq lists it as uncharacterized. The transcript has 4 exons. The record is from RefSeq and is a predicted model, not a curated record. NCBI's taxonomy places the organism in Eukaryota, Metazoa, Chordata, Mammalia, Artiodactyla, Bovidae.
CCCUGCUGCACUCUACAGUCCAGCCAUCCCCUUACUUCCCUACUCAGGCGAGCCGCCCCACUCUGCUUGCUGGUAGGUCCCAGAGACUCCAGCCCCCCUCCUGUUUCUCUUCUUUGUCACCAUCAUCCCAGUGCCAUCACAGUCCAUUGUCCUCCCAAAGAUGGAUGGCCAGUGUCUAAUCCAGGCUUUGCUUAUGGCUGGUGAACUGUAAACUGCCAGGAUGAAACAGAAGGUCUGGGACCAGCAAAGCCCUGAGUCUCACAACCAGCUUUCUCCCAGUCUGGCCAAGGCUUCAGCCAGGUGCUGAGCGGCCUGGGCUGGCCAGGGGAAUCCCUGGGCCCCAUGAUGUCAGCUUCGAGGUUUGGAACUAACCCCUUGGUGAAACCAAGAUGGUCUUCAGUGAAGGCAGGAAGACUGAGAGGGGAGGGUGGCUGGGGUCCAGGAACCACCAACAACAAGGUACAAGCACUUGGUGUUUCAGGAAAUACCACUUCCGCCACGGUCUAUCAGUCAUGGCGGUCACAGAGGUCAUCGUGUGUUCGGAAGGAAAAGAGUCCUA